AUGUGGGCAAUCUGGAUGUCUAGGAAUAAUGUUACUCAUGACAAACAAAGCUUGGAUCCAGUGGAAUCAAUGAAGAGAACCAGAGAGGCUCUGGCGAUCCUAGAAUUGCCUAUGGACCAAGCUAAGAUCCUGCUUGGACACGGCUGGCGUCCUGCUGCUGAAGGUUUCAUAAAGAUCAAUGUUGAUGCAGGUAUCUCUAUGGAAGCCAGGCUCGCAGGUGUGGGAGGAGUUGCUCGUUCAUGUACAACUUAUCUCGGUGCCUGGUGCAAGCCGUUUCAUGGCGUCACUGAUUCACUUCUCGCAGAGGCUCUAGCCCUCCGUGAAGGUGUAAUCUUCGCAAAGCUUCGUGGCUUUGAGCGGGUGCAGUUAGAGACUGACAGUCAAGAUGUGGUCGAUCUCUGGAACUCGCGCCAUUCUUCGCGCUCUUUGAUAGCGUCAGUGCUUCUAGAUAUUGAAGGGUUAGCAGAUAGUUUUACUUCUUUUAGUAUCCAUCAUGUAAAGAGGCAUUCGAAUGUUCCUGCCCACUUGUGUGCGAAAAAUGCUUGCACACUCGAGGGGACAGACUGCUGGAUGUUCUCUCCCCCUGGGUUCUUGGUGACCUGCCUUAUGGCAGACAGCACCGGAGCUCGGUUGAUUGAAUAA
Molecule: ribosomal RNA, 642 nt
Filed under: Triticum aestivum (bread wheat)
Lineage: Eukaryota; Viridiplantae; Streptophyta; Magnoliopsida; Poales; Poaceae
Description: partial small subunit ribosomal RNA
Source: RNAcentral